Molecule: ribosomal RNA, 109 nt
Filed under: uncultured bacterium
Lineage: Bacteria
Description: partial 16S ribosomal RNA
Rfam family: Bacterial small subunit ribosomal RNA
Source: RNAcentral
CCCGGGUCUUGUACACACCGCCCGUCACACCAUGGGAGUGGAAUCCGCCAGAAGUAGGUAGUCUAACCGCGAAGGGGACGCUUACCACGGUAGGUUCAUGACUGGGGUG